Molecule: long non-coding RNA, 261 nt
Filed under: Vulpes vulpes (red fox)
Lineage: Eukaryota; Metazoa; Chordata; Mammalia; Carnivora; Canidae
Description: lncRNA (ENSVVUG00000002082.1)
Source: RNAcentral
GCCUUUUAAUUUACAACUUGGUAAGUGGGGAGGCUGAGGGUCCAUCAUGCCUGCUGGAAAUGUAGACACAGAUCUGGGACUGGUGCAUGGUGAUCGGUGAAGACCUCUGGCUCAUCAGAGAACAAAAUGGAGGCUUUGGUCCCCCACUGUUCCCCAAAGAACCACAGAUCACUGCAGUCUCUGUACACUGUCACAGCCUGUGACUCUGAGGUGCAAAUUUGGCCAUUCCGGAGAGGUAAUUUUAGGGUUUUAGAGUUAUAA